UACGUAGGGCGCAAGCGUUAUCCGGAAUUAUUGGGCGUAAAGAGCUCGUAGGCGGUUUGUCGCGUCUGCCGUGAAAGUCCGGGGCUCAACUCCGGAUCUGCGGUGGGUACGGGCAGACUAGAGUGAUGUAGGGGAGACUGGAAUUCCUGGUGUAGCGGUGAAAUGCGCAGAUAUCAGGAGGAACACCGGUGGCGAAGGCGGGUCUCUGGGCAACAACUGACGCUGAGGAGCGAAAGCGUGGGGAUCAAACAGG
This 253-nucleotide ribosomal RNA is filed under the name uncultured bacterium. Its description in RNAcentral is "partial 16S ribosomal RNA". It matches the Rfam family "Bacterial small subunit ribosomal RNA", at positions 524 to 776 of the family's 1533-position model. The record is from RNAcentral.